Molecule: long non-coding RNA, 517 nt
Filed under: Salmo salar (Atlantic salmon)
Lineage: Eukaryota; Metazoa; Chordata; Actinopteri; Salmoniformes; Salmonidae
Description: lncRNA (ENSSSAG00000085237.1)
Source: RNAcentral
AUCAUAUGUUGGUUGUUUCUCAGAAAGAGCUUUGAUGAAAUCAUGCGACUGGUGUGGUCUGGCCACCCGACAACCUGCCCACCUGACCCCAUCCCCUCCUACCCGCUCCAGCCCAUAUCAGGAGACCUUCUCCCAUUCCUCACUUCCCUCAUCAACUCAUCCCUGACCACUGGCUGCGCCCCUUCUGACUUCAAAAUGGAAAUCUAUCUAUUGCAUUUGACACUGUGGACCAUCAGGUCCUCCUCUCCACCCUCUCAGGGCUGGGUGUCUAAGUCUCUGCACACUCUUGAACUGCUCCAACCAGGUGGAAUGGAGAGGAUCUGUGUCAGCACCACGUACUCUCACUACUGCUGUCUCCCAGAGCUCGGUUCUAGGUUAAAAUGUAAAUGUAAAGUGUGUGUUGGAGCAGGGCUGGAACAAAAGCCUGCAUACACAGUAGCUCUCCAAGAGGAGGGUUCUCCACCUCUGAUGUAAAAGGCUUCAAAACAGUAGUUCUCCAGGAGGAGGGUUCUCCGCC